Molecule: transfer RNA, 75 nt
Filed under: Candidatus Woesearchaeota archaeon
Lineage: Archaea; Nanobdellati; Candidatus Woesearchaeota
Description: tRNA-Glu
Rfam family: tRNA
About the family: Transfer RNA (tRNA) molecules are approximately 80 nucleotides in length. Their secondary structure includes four short double-helical elements and three loops (D, anti-codon, and T loops). Further hydrogen bonds mediate the characteristic L-shaped molecular structure. tRNAs have two regions of fundamental functional importance: the anti-codon, which is responsible for specific mRNA codon recognition, and the 3' end, to which the tRNAs corresponding amino acid is attached (by aminoacyl-tRNA synthetases). tRNAs cope with the degeneracy of the genetic code in two manners: having more than one tRNA (with a specific anti-codon) for a particular amino acid; and 'wobble' base-pairing, i.e. permitting non-standard base-pairing at the 3rd anti-codon position.
Source: RNAcentral
GCCCCUAUGGUGUAGUCCGGCCAAUCAUCUUCGGUUCUCGACCGAAGGACCUGAGUUCAAAUCUCAGUGGGGGCA